This 445-nucleotide ribosomal RNA is filed under the name uncultured bacterium. RNAcentral describes it as "partial 16S ribosomal RNA". It matches the Rfam family "Bacterial small subunit ribosomal RNA", at positions 354 to 796 of the family's 1533-position model. The record is from RNAcentral.
GUGAGGAAUAUUGGUCAAUGGGCGAGAGCCUGAACCAGCCAAGUCGCGUGAAGGAAGAAGGAUCUAUGGUUCGUAAACUUCUUUUGCAGGGGAAUAAAGUGCAGGACGUGUCCUGUUUUGUAUGUACCCUGAGAAUAAGGAUCGGCUAACUCCGUGCCAGCAGCCGCGGUAAUACGGAGGAUCCGAGCGUUAUCCGGAUUUAUUGGGUUUAAAGGGUGCGUAGGUGGUUUGAUGAGUCAGCGGUGAAAGUUUGCAGCUUAACUGUAAAAAUGCCGUUGACACUGUCGGACUUGAGUGUAAAUGAGGUAGGCGGAAUGCGUGGUGUAGCGGUGAAAUGCAUAGAUAUCACGCAGAACUCCGAUUGCGAAGGCAGCUUACUACGGGGUGAUUGACACUGAGGCACGAAAGCGUGGGGAGCAAACAGGAUUAGAAACCCUAGUAGUCC